Molecule: non-coding RNA, 72 nt
Organism: Loxodonta africana (African savanna elephant)
Lineage: Eukaryota; Metazoa; Chordata; Mammalia; Proboscidea; Elephantidae
Source: the annotation of a RefSeq genome assembly
GCACUUGGUGGUUUAGUGGUAGAAUUCUCACCUUCUAUGUGGGAGACCCAGGUUCGAUUCCUGACCAGUGCA